RNAcentral lists this ribosomal RNA (427 nucleotides) under uncultured bacterium. RNAcentral's name for it is "partial 16S ribosomal RNA". It matches the Rfam family "Bacterial small subunit ribosomal RNA", at positions 354 to 795 of the family's 1533-position model. The record is from RNAcentral.
GUAGGGAAUAUUGCGCAAUGGGGGAAACCCUGACGCAGCGACGCCGCGUGAGUGAUGAAGGCCUUCGGGUCGUAAAGCUCUGUUGCAGGGGAAUAAAAAAAUGAAGGUACCCUGUGAGGAAGGAUCGGCUAACUUCGUGCCAGCAGCCGCGGUAAGACGAGGGAUCCUAGCGUUGCUCGGAAUCAUUGGGCGUAAAGAGGGCGUAGGUGGCUUGGUAAGUCAGGUGUGAAAGCCCAGGGCUCAACCCUGGAAGUGCAUUUGAUACUGCUGAGCUUGAGUGUCGGAGAGGUUACCGGAAUACCUGGUGUAGUGGUGAAAUACGUAGAUAUCAGGUGGAACACCGGAGGCGAAGGCGGGUAACUGGACGAACACUGACACUGAGGCCCGAAAGCGUGGGGAUCAAACAGGAUUAGAUACCCGGGUAGUC